This is a long non-coding RNA of Tympanuchus pallidicinctus (lesser prairie-chicken), 346 nucleotides long. RefSeq lists it as uncharacterized. The record is from RefSeq and is a predicted model, not a curated record. Lineage: Eukaryota; Metazoa; Chordata; Aves; Galliformes; Phasianidae. The transcript has 3 exons.
ACCCAUUUAAGAGCUGACUGCCAGGAGGGAAGGAUCUCUUCUGGAGAUCUGCUCUGCUGCCAUUUUGUAAGUGAGCCCAGGAUAUGGAUGCAACUAUCACCUUUAUCACCUAGACCCAUUUAAGAGCUGACUGCCAGUGGGAAAAGAUCUCUUCUGGAGAUCCCUCCUUUGGAAUUUUACAAUGAGCCUAGGACACAGUAGGUAUAUGGGAACUGUUGGGUCAUGGCCUGAACCACUGAUUGAUCACCUGAGGCAAGAACUGAGCCAGCCAUGGGAGCACAGGUGAAGGCAAUUCAGCUGUGCAACUGGAAGGGGUGGAGCCUGGCUGCACCUCUCCUAGACCUGU